AUUGAACGCUGGCGGCAUGCCUUACACAUGCAAGUCGAACGGCAGCACGGGAGCAAUCCUGGUGGCGAGUGGCGAACGGGUGAGUAAUAUAUCGGAACGUGCCCAGUCGUGGGGAUAACGUAGCGAAAGCUACGCUAAUACCGCAUACGAUCUAUGGAUGAAAGCGGGGGAUCGCAAGACCUCGCGCGAUUGGAGCGGCCGAUAUCAGAUUAGGUAGUUGGUGAGGUAAAGGCUCACCAAGCCGACGAUCUGUAGCUGGUCUGAGAGGACGACCAGCCACACUGGGACUGAGACAGGCCCAGACUCCUACGGAGGCAGCAGUGGGGAAUUUUGGACAAUGGGCGGCAAGCCUGAUCCAGCAAUAGCCGCGUGCAGGAUGAAGGCCU
This 386-nucleotide ribosomal RNA is filed under the name uncultured bacterium. Its description in RNAcentral is "bacterial SSU rRNA". It matches the Rfam family "Bacterial small subunit ribosomal RNA", at positions 30 to 417 of the family's 1533-position model. The record is from RNAcentral.